This is a non-coding RNA of Paramuricea clavata, 811 nucleotides long. Lineage: Eukaryota; Metazoa; Cnidaria; Anthozoa; Malacalcyonacea; Plexauridae. The record is from the annotation of a GenBank genome assembly.
AUUUUCUCCAAGAGCAUAGCUCAUCAAGGGAGAUUAUGUCGGAUUAUUUACAAACUUUAGGUUACUCACAUCAAGACAAAGAGGAUUACAUAGAAAAAAAAGAUUACAUCAAAACAAAUCGAAUAAUCAUAGUGUGGAAGAACUUCUGGUAUUCAUUCUCAAGCUUUCCAUGAAACAUAUUAUUAUAAGAAAUUUAUAUGGAAGAAUUUACCACACCAAUAUCUUACAGACCAAUGUUUUACAAAACAAGUUCCAAUAAAAAAAAAAAAAAAGAAAAAAAGUUACUCCGCCCGAAACCGUUUUGUAUUUAAGAUAAAUAAUUGGACAUUUUGCAUUAAUUUUACAUUAUCUUCAUGUCCAAGAUUUUCCGAACCAUGCAAAAGUAUUUCAAUUUUCCGAUUCUCUGAUAAAUUCAUCCACAUAGGAUGGAGCAGCCGCGCAGGAAGUGAGAGCAAUUGUUCACGUUGGGCAGCAAAUCGAGAACAAUAUAAAAAGUAAUGUUUGACAGUUUCCAUUUCACCCCAUCGACAUACACAAAAGGGGGAAUUUGCACAAUUAAUUCUAUAUAGGUGAAAAUUAAGCGCACAGUGACCAAGCCUGAGCCUGGUAUGGAGUAUUGAGCUAUAUCUACUUAGUGAUGCAUUGUAUUUUACGUUAUAUUUUUGUCCACAAUACAUAUUACAUAAGGUAACUUUAAAGGAAGAAAGCGUCUCUAUAUUUCGUAAAUCUGAAUCAAGAUCAUUCCAGGCAGUUAUUGCCGAUGGAAAGAAAGAUUUUUUAAAUCGUUCAGUUCUCACAGGUAUAUUAGUUA